AAAUUGAAGAGUUUGAUCAUGGCUCAGAUUGAACGCUGGCGGCAGGCCUAACACAUGCAAGUCGAACGGUAACAGGAAGCAGCUUGCUGCUUUGCUGACGAGUGGCGGACGGGUGAGUAAUGUCUGGGAAACUGCCUGAUGGAGGGGGAUAACUACUGGAAACGGUGGCUAAUACCGCAUAACGUCGCAAGACCAAAGAGGGGGACCUUCGGGCCUCUUGCCAUCAGAUGUGCCCAGAUGGGAUUAGCUGGUUGGUGAGGUAACGGCUCACCAAGGCGACGAUCCCUAGCUGGUCUGAGAGGAUGACCAGCCACACUGGAACUGAGACACGGUCCAGACUCCUACGGGAGGCAGCAGUGGGGAAUAUUGCACAAUGGGCGCAAGCCUGAUGCAGCCAUGCCGCGUGUAUGAAGAAGGCCUUCGGGUUGUAAAGUACUUUCAGCGGGGAGGAAGGUGUUGUGGUUAAUAACCGCAGCAAUUGACGUUACCCGCAGAAGAAGCACCGGCUAACUCCGUGCCAGCAGCCGCGGUAAUACGGAGGGUGCAAGCGUUAAUCGGAAUUACUGGGCGUAAAGCGCACGCAGGCGGUCUGUCAAGUCGGAUGUGAAAUCCCCGGGCUCAACCUGGGAACUGCAUUCGAAACUGGCAGGCUUGAGUCUUGUAGAGGGGGGUAGAAUUCCAGGUGUAGCGGUGAAAUGCGUAGAGAUCUGGAGGAAUACCGGUGGCGAAGGCGGCCCCCUGGACAAAGACUGACGCUCAGGUGCGAAAGCGUGGGGAGCAAACAGGAUUAGAUACCCUGGUAGUCCACGCCGUAAACGAUGUCUACUUGGAGGUUGUGCCCUUGAGGCGUGGCUUCCGGAGCUAACGCGUUAAGUAGACCGCCUGGGGAGUACGGCCGCAAGGUUAAAACUCAAAUGAAUUGACGGGGGCCCGCACAAGCGGUGGAGCAUGUGGUUUAAUUCGAUGCAACGCGAAGAACCUUACCUGGUCUUGACAUCCACGGAAGUUUUCAGAGAUGAGAAUGUGCCUUCGGGAACCGUGAGACAGGUGCUGCAUGGCUGUCGUCAGCUCGUGUUGUGAAAUGUUGGGUUAAGUCCCGCAACGAGCGCAACCCUUAUCCUUUGUUGCCAGCGGUCCGGCCGGGAACUCAAAGGAGACUGCCAGUGAUAAACUGGAGGAAGGUGGGGAUGACGUCAAGUCAUCAUGGCCCUUACGACCAGGGCUACACACGUGCUACAAUGGCGCAUACAAAGAGAAGCGACCUCGCGAGAGCAAGCGGACCUCAUAAAGUGCGUCGUAGUCCGGAUUGGAGUCUGCAACUCGACUCCAUGAAGUCGGAAUCGCUAGUAAUCGUGGAUCAGAAUGCCACGGUGAAUACGUUCCCGGGCCUUGUACACACCGCCCGUCACACCAUGGGAGUGGGUUGCAAAAGAAGUAGGUAGCUUAACCUUCGGGAGGGCGCUUACCACUUUGUGAUUCAUGACUGGGGUGAAGUCGUAACAAGGUAACCGUAGGGGAACCUGCGGUUGGAUCACCUCCUUACCUUAAAGAAGC
This 1554-nucleotide ribosomal RNA is filed under the name Salmonella enterica subsp. enterica serovar Ouakam. RNAcentral's name for it is "bacterial SSU rRNA". It matches the Rfam family "Bacterial small subunit ribosomal RNA". Lineage: Bacteria; Pseudomonadati; Pseudomonadota; Gammaproteobacteria; Enterobacterales; Enterobacteriaceae. The record is from RNAcentral.